GUAACGGUCACCGCAAGGUCCCUGCCAUACGGGCAGGCUGUCUUACGCGGCUCGCGCGUCGAGUCGCAACCCGGCAACGCCGGCUUCAACAAACCCGCCGGACUUCGAUCCGGC
Molecule: non-coding RNA, 114 nt
Filed under: Pseudomonas paraeruginosa PA7
Lineage: Bacteria; Pseudomonadati; Pseudomonadota; Gammaproteobacteria; Pseudomonadales; Pseudomonadaceae
Description: Pseudomon-groES RNA
Rfam family: Pseudomon-groES RNA
Source: RNAcentral